This 230-nucleotide ribosomal RNA is filed under the name uncultured bacterium. RNAcentral's name for it is "partial 16S ribosomal RNA". It matches the Rfam family "Bacterial small subunit ribosomal RNA", at positions 568 to 796 of the family's 1533-position model. The record is from RNAcentral.
CUCGUAGGCGGUUUAGUAAGUCAAUCGUGAAAUGUCGGGGCUCAACCCCGAGACUGCGGUCGAAACUGCUAUGACUAGGGUCCGGUAGAGGUGAGUGGAAUUCUCGGUGUAGCGGUGAAAUGCGCAGAUAUCGAGAGGAACACCAGUAGCGAAGGCGGCUCACUGGGCCGGUACCGACGCUGAGGAGCGAAAGCGUGGGGAGCAAACAGGAUUAGAUACCCUGGUAGUCC